AUAUUUGUCCAUUUAAAAUUAAAUUAUUUCAUUAAGUAUAAUAUUAAUUCACUUAUCUAUUCUAUUUUACUACAUCAUCGGAUUAAAAACCAUAUGUCUAAAAUUUAAUCUCUUCUUCUAAAAUCCAUGGACUUCCUUUAUCUCUCAGAAAUGAAAAACUAAAAAAAAUCCUUUUCCUCACUCUUUCUUGCUCACAGAUUGUAAAUGAGAGAAAAUAAUCAUCUUCCUCCUCUCUUUCACAGAACAAUCACCAAUGAGACCACCACUGCAUUUUCGAUAAUCACUAACACAUUGCUUUACAAAAACAAACUAACAACGAAAGAAAUUUGAGAUAUGUUGCUCAUCGUCUUCUUCUUCAGAUCUUCUUUCAGAUCUAUGCACCUAUACAUCGUCUCCUUCUAUUUCUUCUUUUAGAUCUAUGUCUAUACGCAUAGUCCACUUCUACUUCUGUUUUCAGAUAUAUGCAUCUAUCUUCUCAUUUUCUCCCAUUUCAUUCAGAUCUACGCAUCGUGGUAGCUGGUAUUCCCUAUUCGACGAAGAUGAGCGAAAGAUGAAGGUUGUCAUCAUAGAUGUCGAUCUCUUCUUUUCAUUUCCAGCUUGGGUGACAACGACAUUAAUGUUGUAUAGACAAGACAUACGUUCGAUGAAAUUCCUAGCCUAAUUGUAGUUUAUUGGAAAGUGAUAAUUUUUGGAUAUUUAAAAAUCUGUGAGGUGAAAAUAGUUGUAAAAGUUUUUGAAGAAACAAAUAUUUUUAUUCUGGAUAUGUAAAUAUUGUUAUUUUGGAUACGUAAAUAUUGCACUUUUCCUAUACUUUUGUUGCAUAUUCUAAUAUGUUGAUAUUGUUAUUCUUCAUUGUCCUUUUAGAACUUUGGGUUGAAUUCCCGAACGUAUCUAGUUGAUGUGAUUAAAUAAAAUUAAUUACAUAAAUUACGUUAAUUUGAGUUCUUAGUAAUCACCGAAUUUAAUUCAAUUUACGAUAAUUUUAAUUUUUAAUAAUGUCAUGAUUUAGUUUAAUUAAUGGUAAUUUUAAUUCUUAGUUAUUUAAUUUAAUUUAAUUU
Molecule: long non-coding RNA, 1058 nt
Filed under: Lathyrus oleraceus (garden pea)
Lineage: Eukaryota; Viridiplantae; Streptophyta; Magnoliopsida; Fabales; Fabaceae
Description: Pisum sativum (pea) long non-coding RNA (PSAT_LNC013597)
Source: RNAcentral